GAUGAACGCUAGCGGGAGGCCUAACACAUGCAAGCCGAGCGGUAUUGUUUCUUCGGAAAUGAGAGAGCGGCGUACGGGUGCGUAACACGUGUGCAACCUGCCUUUAUCUGGGGGAUAGCCUUUCGAAAGGAAGAUUAAUACUCCAUAAUAUAUUUAACGGCAUCGUUUAAUAUUGAAAGCUCCGGCGGAUAGAGAUGGGCCCGCGCAAGAUUAGCUAGUUGGUGAGGUAACGGCUCACCAAGGCGAUGAUCUUUAGGGGGCCUGAGAGGGUGAUCCCCCACACUGGUACUGAGACACGGACCAGACUCCUACGGGAGGCAGCAGUGAGGAAUAUUGGUCAAUGGGUGCAAGCCUGAACCAGCCAUCCCGCGUGAAGGACGACUGCCCUAUGGGUUGUAAACUUCUUUUGGAUAGGGAUAAACCUACCCUCGAGAGGGUAGCUGAAGGUACUAUACGAAUAAGCACCGGCUAACUCCGUG
RNAcentral lists this ribosomal RNA (479 nucleotides) under uncultured bacterium. Its description in RNAcentral is "partial 16S ribosomal RNA". It matches the Rfam family "Bacterial small subunit ribosomal RNA", at positions 28 to 507 of the family's 1533-position model. The record is from RNAcentral.